AGCAGCCGCGGUAAUUCCAGCUCCAAUAGCGUAUAUUAAAGUUGUUGCAGUUAAAAAGCUCGUAGUUGAAUUUCGGGAUCAAGGAAUCGGUCAUGCCUCGGUAUGUACUGGUUUUAUUGGUUCUCACCUUCUAAAGAACCAUGAUGUCAUUCAUUUGAUGUUAUGGGGAAUUAGGACUGUUACCUUGAAAAAAUUAGAGUGCUUAAAGCAGGCUUACGCUUGAAUACAUUAGCAUGGAAUAAUGAAAUAGGACAUCAGAUUCUAUUUUGUUGGUUUCUAGGAUCGAUGUAAUGAUUAAUAGGGAUAGUUGGGGGCAUUAGUAUUCAAUUGUCAGAGGUGAAAUUCUUGGAUUUAUUGAAGACUAACUACUGCGAAAGCAUUUGCCAAGGAUGUUUUCAUUAAUCAAGAACGAAAGUUAGGGGAUCGAAGACGAUCAGAUACCGUCGCAGUCUUAACCAUAAACUAUGCCGACUAGGGAUCGGAUGAUGUUAAUUUUUUAAUGACUCAUUCGGCGCCUUAC
Molecule: unclassified non-coding RNA, 520 nt
Filed under: uncultured Glomus
Lineage: Eukaryota; Fungi; Glomeromycota; Glomeromycetes; Glomerales; Glomeraceae
Description: SSU rRNA
Rfam family: Eukaryotic small subunit ribosomal RNA
Source: RNAcentral